ACCUGAACCAAUUCAUCCACCUGGCCCUGGCACUGGCCAGCAAAUACCAGCCUCGUGACUCGUUACUCAAAGGUGCUGUUAUGGAAGUGCUGCCUACCAUGUUCUAUGAAAAUUCGCACUCUGAAGAUACUCCACUUCAUAACUGUGGACACUUACUUGGCCCAAGGUGCUACCUGGCCCUCUUUAUGUCACCUUGUGGGGAUUGAGCUUUGGAGAACCAGCACAAGAAAAUGCUGCUAUUCUGGCUAUUGCUAAAGUCCACAACCUCUUUCUCAACAAAAGACUUCAUGCUGAGAAAAUUCUAGAACCAGUUGAUUUUCAGCAUCUCCACGUGUCCAGCAUCUUCCCCAAGAGGAAGUCUUCUAGCUGAGCUGAUGCUUCCUGCAUGUUCUGAGUAAGAGUUGUCAAAGAAUGUUUCCUCUCCUCUGCUGACGUCGGUGCUGUGCUGGCCCUGGAAGCACACCAUCAGGCGCUCGUGGGAAUGAUGGCACGUUGACUGCACCCUGUCUAUGUGCAGGUUGAGCUGCAACAUCUUCAUGGAGGACUUCUGUUUUCUCAGAUCUACCCAUGGUUUGCUUGGCCAGCUGCCUAGUGUGGUUGAACUUCAUCACUGCAGCAGAGGCAGCCUGCCCUUAGGGGCUGGGACCCCACAGGGAACGGCGGCAGCAGUGGCUCCCCAGGCCAGCCUUUGGCCAUGUCAUGUGCCACUUCCAGUAACACAUCCCUACUUCCUUUUUAUGUUUCUGUUUCUGCCAUCUUAGCUCAAGUUGACCUCUGGUAGGAUCUCCAAGUUGAAUUUGGCUAAAUCAUCACAUCAGCUGCAUGGAAUUCAUGGAAGAUGGUCCUUCUAUCAGGUGAAAUGUGGAAGUAUGGAAACCUA
RNAcentral lists this long non-coding RNA (880 nucleotides) under Equus caballus (horse). RNAcentral describes it as "lncRNA (ENSECAG00000056581.1)". The record is from RNAcentral. Lineage: Eukaryota; Metazoa; Chordata; Mammalia; Perissodactyla; Equidae.